ACAUGCAAGUCGAGCGGUAGAGUGGAGCUUGCUCCAUGAUUCAGCGGCGGACGGGUGAGUAAUGCCUAGGAAUCUGCCUGGUGGUGGGGGACAACGUUUCGAAAGGAACGCUAAUACCGCAUACGUCCUACGGGAGAAAGCAGGGGACCUUCGGGCCUUGCGCUAUCAGAUGAGCCUAGGUCGGAUUAGCUAGUAGGUGGGGUAAUGGCCCACCUAGGCGACGAUCCGUAACUGGUCUGAGAGGAUGAUCAGUCACACUGGAACUGAGACACGGUCCAGACUCCUACGGGAGGCAGCAGUGGGGAAUAUUGGACAAUGGGCGAAAGCCUGAUCCAGCCAUGCCGCGUGUGUGAAGAAGGUCUUCGGAUUGUAAAGCACUUUAAGUUGGGAGGAAGGGCAGUAAGUUAAUACCUUGCUGUUUUGACGUUACCAACAGAAUAAGCACCGGCUAACUUCGUGCCAGCAGCCGCGGUAAUACGAAGGGUGCAAGCGUUAAUCGGAAUUACUGGGCGUAAAGCGCGCGUAGGUGGUUCAGCAAGUUGGAGGUGAAAUCCCCGGGCUCAACCUGGGAACUGCCUCCAAAACUACUGAGCUAGAGUACGGUAAAGGGUAGUGGAAUUUCCUGUGUAGCGGUGAAAUGCGUAGAUAUAGGAAGGAACACCAGUGGCGAAAGCGACUACCUGGACUGAUACUGACACUGAGGUGCGAAAGCGUGGGGAGCAAACAGGAUUAAAUACC
RNAcentral lists this ribosomal RNA (738 nucleotides) under Aquipseudomonas alcaligenes. Its description in RNAcentral is "bacterial SSU rRNA". It matches the Rfam family "Bacterial small subunit ribosomal RNA", at positions 53 to 786 of the family's 1533-position model. Lineage: Bacteria; Pseudomonadati; Pseudomonadota; Gammaproteobacteria; Pseudomonadales; Pseudomonadaceae. The record is from RNAcentral.